Molecule: transfer RNA, 72 nt
Filed under: Geodermatophilaceae bacterium
Lineage: Bacteria; Bacillati; Actinomycetota; Actinomycetes; Geodermatophilales; Geodermatophilaceae
Also listed under: 1 other name
Description: tRNA-Val
Rfam family: tRNA
About the family: Transfer RNA (tRNA) molecules are approximately 80 nucleotides in length.
Source: RNAcentral
GGGCGGUUGGCGCAGCGGUAGCGCGCUUCCCUGACACGGAAGAGGUCACAGGUUCGAUCCCUGUACCGCCCA